Asparagus officinalis (garden asparagus) is the source of this 1220-nucleotide long non-coding RNA. RefSeq lists it as uncharacterized. NCBI's taxonomy places the organism in Eukaryota, Viridiplantae, Streptophyta, Magnoliopsida, Asparagales, Asparagaceae. The transcript is spliced from 2 exons. The record is from RefSeq and is a predicted model, not a curated record.
UAUAAAUCCAAAACAGUACUCUCAAAGUGAGUAAGAGAUAUAGAGGGAGACAAGAAAGGAGAAAAGAUAAAGGUAGUGAGAUUAAAAUACAAUUAAAUCUAAGGGCUCUUUAAUCAGUGGAAUUGCUUUACUUACAAGGAUCUCUAGGAGCCAAACCACACAAAAGAAGCCAAAACCAAGAGUGAGAGAGAUGGACUGAAAGAAUCAAAGCAAACCUUACAUGCAUGAUUUUAUGCCUACUAGAACAUUUCUUGGUCUUUGUUCCACGCACUUCUACCUCUUCUAUAGUACAUAUCAAAAUGAUUCUUUGGAUAUCUUUCUCUUUACAUGCUAACAAACAUAUCAUUACUCUUCAUCAACUCAUCAUCAUCAUCAUCAUCAUCAUCUCAUUUCUCUCUCUCUCUUUCUCUCUCUCUCCCUCUCUCUCUCUCUCUCUGUGUAUCUCAUGCACACUCAAAAAUAAAGGAAGGAGAUCACUAAAGUGACCGCAAAAGCUUAUGACCAUCUUUGUCAAGAAUCUUGAAUGUGUAUUUUUUUUUUGUGUAAGGGAAGCUAAUUGUCUUCUUUACACACCCCCAAACACAACCAACAACACAUAAAGCAGUGCGUAUGCACUUUGGCAAAGCAAUGAUAUUUUUGGCUAAAUUUAGGAGUGUUUAAAGAUUUUCCCAACUCAUUUGCUACAUCCAAGAUGAGACGUCCCCCCACCCCCACCCCCUAAUUCAUCAAGAAACUUCACCGUCGCCCGCCCUCCCUCCCUCCCUCUACGCCCUCCCCGGCGGCCGCCCAGCCUUGCCUGCUCUUCUGCAAUACAAAAUUUCAUCCAAUUCUGGUCAGAUUGUGAAGCAAUUCUCGCAACAUUUCAUCAUGCAAUGCUCAAAUUCAGAGAAGAGUGAGGAUUAAAACAACCCAGCUACAACUAACAGGUGGACAAAAGAAGAAAAAUGCAAGAAGAUAGUAUGAGGCUACAUGAAAAAUUUGUAAGCCAUGACAACUAAAUCAAAAUUCAUAUUGCGCGAUGAAGAACACUUGGCAAAAUACUAAUAGCUACUUACUAAUGAAGAGGUGAAGAGCAAAAUCUGAUGACAGAGCAAUCAAGUACCUGUUGUGGAUAGGAUCAGGCCCAUUUGGCACUCUCCUCUUGGUAGCACUGAGAGGAUCCAUUUUCAUCUGAGAAUUGGACCUCACCGUCGUCGCUGACAUUCCCCUAGAACUCAGAG